This 71-nucleotide transfer RNA is filed under the name Halogranum tailed virus 1. RNAcentral's name for it is "Halovirus HGTV-1 tRNA-Ile". Lineage: Duplodnaviria; Heunggongvirae; Uroviricota; Caudoviricetes; Thumleimavirales; Halomagnusviridae. The record is from RNAcentral.
ACGAGGAUAGUGUAAUGGAAACACUCCGGUCAGAUGGACCGGCACUACCUGUUCGAUUCAGGUUCCUCGUA